This 374-nucleotide ribosomal RNA is filed under the name uncultured organism. Its description in RNAcentral is "bacterial SSU rRNA". It matches the Rfam family "Bacterial small subunit ribosomal RNA", at positions 526 to 896 of the family's 1533-position model. The record is from RNAcentral.
CGUAGGGUGCGAGCGUUGUCCGGAAUUAUUGGGCGUAAAGAGCUCGUAGGCGGUGUGUCGCGUCGGUCGUGAAAACUUGGGGCUUAACCCUGAGCGUGCGGUCGAUACGGGCAUCACUUGAGUUCGGCAGGGGAGACUGGAAUUCCUGGUGUAGCGGUGAAAUGCGCAGAUAUCAGGAGGAACACCGGUGGCGAAGGCGGGUCUCUGGGCCGAUACUGACGCUGAGGAGCGAAAGCGUGGGGAGCGAACAGGAUUAGAUACCCUGGUAGUCCACGCCGUAAACGGUGGGCACUAGGUGUGGGGGCCAUUCCACGGUCUCUGUGCCGCAGCUAACGCAUUAAGUGCCCCGCCUGGGGAGUACGGCCGCAAGGCUA